RNAcentral lists this ribosomal RNA (801 nucleotides) under uncultured bacterium. RNAcentral's name for it is "bacterial SSU rRNA". It matches the Rfam family "Bacterial small subunit ribosomal RNA", at positions 8 to 766 of the family's 1533-position model. The record is from RNAcentral.
AGAGUUUGAUCUGGCUCAGGAUGAACGCCGGCGGUGUGCCUAAUACAUGCAAGUCGUACGCGUUGGCCCAACUGAUUUGAAGUGCUUGCACGGAUCUGACGUUGGUUUACCAACGAGUGGCGGACGGGUGAGUAACACGUAGGUAACCUGCCCAGAAGCGGGGGACAACACUUGGAAACAGGUGCUAAUACCGCAUAACAAUUCAAAUCGCAUGAUUUGAAUUUGAAAGAUGGUUUCGGCUAUCACUUCUGGAUGGACCUGCGGCGCAUUAGCUUGUUGGUGGGGUAACGGCCUACCAAGGCAGUGAUGCGUAGCCGAGUUGAGAGACUGAUCGGCCACAAUGGGACUGAGACACGGCCCAUACUCCUACGGGAGGCAGCAGUAGGGAAUCUUCCACAAUGGGCGCAAGCCUGAUGGAGCAACACCGCGUGAGUGAAGAAGGUUUUCGGAUCGUAAAGCUCUGUUGUUGAAGAAGAACGUGCAUGAGAGUAACUGUUCAUGCAGUGACGGUAUUCAACCAGAAAGUCACGGCUAACUACGUGCCAGCAGCCGCGGUAAUACGUAGGUGGCAAGCGUUAUCCGGAUUUAUUGGGCGUAAAGAGAGUGCAGGCGGUUUCUUAAGUCUGAUGUGAAAGCCUUCGGCUCAACCGAAGAAGUGCAUCGGAAACUGGGAAACUUGAGUACAGAAGAGGGCAGUGGAACUCCAUGUGUAGCGGUGGAAUGCGUAGAUAUAUGGAAGAACACCAGUGGCGAAGGCGGCUGCCUGGUCUGUAACUGACGCUGAGACUCGAAAGCAUGGGU